GAUGAACGCUGGCGGCGUGCCUAAUACAUGCAAGUCGAGCGAACAGAUAAGGAGCUUGCUCCUUUGACGUUAGCGGCGGACGGGUGAGUAACACGUGGGUAACCUACCUAUAAGACUGGGAUAACUUCGGGAAACCGGAGCUAAUACCGGAUAACAUUUGGAACCGCAUGGUUCUAAAGUGAAAGAUGGUUUUGCUAUCACUUAUAGAUGGACCCGCGCCGUAUUAGCUAGUUGGUAAGGUAACGGCUUACCAGGGCGACGAUACGUAGCCGACCUGAGAGGGUGAUCGGCCACACUGGAACUGAGACACGGUCCAGACUCCUACGGGAGGCAGCAGUAGGGAAUCUUCCGCAAUGGGCGAAAGCCUGACGGAGCAACGCCGCGUGAGUGAUGAAGGGUUUCGGCUCGUAAAACUCUGUUAUUAGGGAAGAACAAACGUGUAAGUAACUGUGCACGUCUUGACGGUACCUAAUCAGAAAGCCACGGCUAACUACGUG
This 497-nucleotide ribosomal RNA is filed under the name uncultured bacterium. RNAcentral's name for it is "partial 16S ribosomal RNA". It matches the Rfam family "Bacterial small subunit ribosomal RNA", at positions 28 to 507 of the family's 1533-position model. The record is from RNAcentral.